This 28-nucleotide non-coding RNA is filed under the name Mus musculus (house mouse). Lineage: Eukaryota; Metazoa; Chordata; Mammalia; Rodentia; Muridae. The record is from RNAcentral.
UCCAAGACUUUGAACAUGAAGGGGAUUU